RNAcentral lists this ribosomal RNA (484 nucleotides) under uncultured bacterium. Its description in RNAcentral is "partial 16S ribosomal RNA". It matches the Rfam family "Bacterial small subunit ribosomal RNA", at positions 30 to 507 of the family's 1533-position model. The record is from RNAcentral.
AUUGAACGCUGGCGGCAGGCCUAACACAUGCAAGUCGAGCGGAUGAAGGGAGCUUGCUCCUGGAUUCAGCGGCGGACGGGUGAGUAAUGCCUAGGAAUCUGCCUGGUAGUGGGGGAUAACGUCCGGAAACGGGCGCUAAUACCGCAUACGUCCUGAGGGUGAAAGUGGGGGAUCUUCGGACCUCACGCUAUCAGAUGAGCCUAGGUCGGAUUAGCUAGUUGGUGGGGUAAAGGCCUACCAAGGCGACGAUCCGUAACUGGUCUGAGAGGAUGAUCAGUCACACGGGAACUGAGACACGGUCCAGACUCCUACGGGAGGCAGCAGUGGGGAAUAUUAGACAAUGGGCGAAAGCCUGAUCCAGCCAUGCCGCGUGUGUGAAGAAGGUCUUCGGAUUGUAAAGCACUUUAAGUUGGGAGGAAGGGCAGUAAGUUAAUACCUUGCGGUUUUGACGUUACCAACAGAAUAAGCACCGGCUAACUUCGUG